Long non-coding RNA from Thunnus maccoyii (southern bluefin tuna), 546 nucleotides. RefSeq lists it as uncharacterized. The transcript has 3 exons. Lineage: Eukaryota; Metazoa; Chordata; Actinopteri; Scombriformes; Scombridae. The record is from RefSeq and is a predicted model, not a curated record.
UUCAUUUGGAGUCGUGUUUCUGUCCACCUGGUGAAUGGGUCAGAGGUCAAGCUGGGAACCCCACGGAGCGACCGACAGAGAAGCCAGAUGUUGAGUCCGAACGAAGGUUUCUUUGUGUAUUCAAUCAUCUUUAUCUCCUGACAUGCUGCUUCUCUCCAGAGCAUCUGUUCAUCUCUUCAGUGUCUCGUUGUGUCAUCAUGUCUCUGCAGUCGAAGCUCUUUCACCUGCAGGUCCCCCCCGACGUUAAUUUCUGCUUAAUGAAUCAGCCCAUUUGCAUAUCAGAUAGAUAAGACAUUAUCCUUUGUUUGAAGACUCCUCUGUGGAAUAAUCGAAUGUGACCGUGCUAAUCCAUCACACACACAGUUUUUCAUAUCUGAUGUUAUAUGUGGAGCGAGGAUUGAGACCUCAGGGCAAAGGAAGCUGAUUUUAUUCAGUUUUCUCCUCUUUCGGUUCCUGCUGAUGCAUUUUAGCCCUGAAACAUGCAACACAGAGAUACACAUGAAAAUACAGUCACAUACGUACACAGUAUGUAUGCAUGUGGUUCAA